Long non-coding RNA from Panthera uncia (snow leopard), 2740 nucleotides. RefSeq lists it as uncharacterized. NCBI's taxonomy places the organism in Eukaryota, Metazoa, Chordata, Mammalia, Carnivora, Felidae. The record is from RefSeq and is a predicted model, not a curated record. The transcript has 5 exons.
AUAAACUCAGGAUUAAGGGCUGGACUCGGUGGAGAACAGGGGUAGAAGAUAGCUCUGCAGUUACAGUGAGUCAUUUUCUGCCUGAUUCCCCACUGUCGGAUGAGAAGUUUAGAAACUUGGAGGUACCAAAAGGCAGAGGUUCUACAUAUGGAAAAGAUGGCCUAAUGUGGUGAGAAGGUCUGAGUUCUGUGUUCCGGUCUCAUGUCAGGAUGCUUUGUCACUGAUGAUGUGGACUUAGCAUUACACAGGGAAUACAGGUGGCUCAUAGCUCAGAUUUGAUCCACGGCUCCAGGAAAAUGAAAGGGAGAGGAAACUAAUACCGAGGCACUGGAAGCCCAAAGGAGGAACAUCAAAUACUACAUCCCACAGAUUUUCAUGGCAGAAGGUAAGAACAGUCUUUGGUGGGACCAAAUGAUCCCAUUUCCUUAUUCCAUAAUUAGCAUCCUUCACGAGCCUGAAACAUUUAAUAAUCCUAGUUAAAAUCCAACUGAGCUCGUAGCAUUUUGUGAUUUUUGCCUGAGUCUGUUUAACAAAGUGUUACAACUUCAGGAAGGGCUAUGAGUAAUACCUAUGAGUAAUUACUGUGAGUAAUACCUAUAUUAGAGCGUAAAAGAUAUAAGAUCUAAAGUUGUCAAUGCUAUAAAAAUACAAAAUACCCAGUGAUGCGUAAAGCAGAUUGCACUGCUCUGCCACUUGCUAUAAUUGCCUUUCAUAAGCUCUCUUUCUCAUCAGUUGGAGCUGUGGUUAUCGUUUCUGGAUACUACUACUCUAAGUUUUUUUCUCUCUUUUUUUAAAUUUAUUUUUUUAAGUUUUUAUUUAUUUUGAGAGAGAGCGCGCAAGUGGGAAGGGGCAGAGAGAGAGAGAGAGAGAGAGAGGGAGAAGGAAUCCCAAGCAGGGUCUGUGCUGUCAGCACAGAGCCUGACGCGGGGCUAGAACUCACAAACUGUGAGAUCGUGACCUGAUCUGAAAUCAAGAGUAGGUGGGUAUAACCAACUGAGCCAUCCAGGCUCCCCCUCUUGUUUUUUUUAUUUUUUUUAGAAUAAUGCAAAAGAGCUCUUUGGCAUGGCUCCAAGUCUCUACAUCCUUAGAAUAGGCAAUUCUAUGAAGACAGAAAGUAGAUUAAUUGUUCCUUGGGGCUGGGAGGCUUGGGGGUGGGAGAAAGGGCAGUGACUGCUAAUGAGUACAGAGCGUCUUUUUAAGGUGGCACCUGUCACCAGGAGGUGUCACCCAGAGGAACUGCGACAUCCCACAGAUGAUUUUGCAGCCUCUCACUUUGUGAGGCAAGAUCUUUUUGGGCCAUUCCCUCCAAACCCUACCCCCUCCUCUACCUCUGUGGCCUCAGAGCUGAGGUAGACCAGAGGGGGAAGAGGGAGGCAUUAAGAGCAGAUGGGAGCUCUGCCAUGAUGCUAGAUGCUAGAGCUGGGGAGAAGGGAAAACUUGAGAUCUGAGCUUAAGUGGGAGAAAGAUUCCUACAAUGACAAACGAGAUCUGCUUGUUUAGCAGCAGGCUGUUAUUUGGAUAGCUUUAUCCACUAUUCAGGUCACGACAGCCUAUAAAGUAUUUCUAUCACGAUAUAGUAAGGGAACUGAGAAACAGAGAUUUCAUCUACUUUCCCUAGGUUGCACAAUUUCGAGUGGCAGGCAGGGGGGCUCUGGAGGACAGGAUGAAGUCAGUACAGGAUAAGACUUUUUGUGUGUUGAGGAGUGAAGAAAGAUUAGCGAGUGUUGUUGAAAUGGUUGAAAAGGGGAAAAAAACCAUUUAAUGAUCGUACCCCCGCAAAUUCAGACUGAUCUGGGGUGGAAAUACACAAAUAGGAAUAAACAAUACAUAUGUUUACAAUAUGAAAAUAUAUGCAUAGAACUUAAGGCUGUUUAUCAAAUAUUAAUAGCAAUUGUCACUGGGAGGUGGAAUUAUGAGUGACUCUUAAUGUUCUUCUUUGUAUUUUUAAGUGAUUUCCCCAAAUUUCUACUAUGAAUAAAUACACUUUUAUAUGUUAAUUAGAAAAAACGCAGGAAAAAUUAUAUAAAUAGCCACCACUUAAAUCUAGAUCCAAAAUGCACGAUUUACCCCUUAAUUGUUUCUGUUUGCGAUAUAAAUGAGAGAAUUAAAUGGAAGUUACUGCACUCUUGGGAAUUUUGUUUACAAUUCGUAGAGUGGAUAGCAAGAAAGGCAGAGAAAGAAAUGAGAGCUGUCAGUAUAUUCUAUGAGAAGAGAGCCAUGUUUGUCCCGUUCACCAUUGUGUCCUCCGGGAGUUAACCCGCUGACCAGUGCAAAUGACCUGCCAGGAAACCGCAUGGCCUUUGUAUGUCUACAGCCUUGGUGGCUCAGUUGUAAUGGUGAACUGCCGUGCCUAGUACACAUGCUGGCACACGGUGGAAGCAGCAGGAAUGCCUGGGGGACCCACUAGGUGCUCAGCCGAGAUGGAGUUAACUUAGAGAAGAAAUAACAAUGUAGAAAAGAUCUAUAGUCACCAAAUACACAACAGGCCCCGGGGUCUUCAUAAACCCUUGAGGAGGGCACAUGUUUCAGGGAGCUAAGGCCCUGCAAGAAAUGCUGGGGGCAAAAUGCAGUGACUUGAAAGCUAUUACCAUUAAACUUUAUCCCAUCUGUAUACAACAAAAUGGGGGCAAGGCAGGAAAGUGCACUGCCUUUGAAACCAUCUAGUGUUUGACUCUGCAUUUUGUGACUUAGUGUAGACCAACCACCAAACGAGAAUGGAAUAUUUCAAUAGGAUGACCUA